GGAGUCCGCCCAGGGCUCAGCACAGGGCGGCGUCCUCACUGUGUGGCGCCUCCGCUCACAACUGCAGGUGAGGACACAGGCUGUCACGACUCCACAGUGCUUGCGAGACGCAGCCCAGACCUCAGACCUUAGUCUGUCCCCCGUUCUGGUCCUUCCAGGCCUCUUGUUGAGUGCCCAGCGCCUGGCUUCGUGCUCGGAGAUGGACCGUGUCCCCGCGCCCCGCCCCCUGUCCUGAGAUAGACCGUGCCCCAGCACAAGCCGAGGGGACGCAGCACCUGCACCCUGGCCUGGCACGUCCUAAGGGGACCUGUAAACUCCCUACAGAUAAUAUCUGCUGAGCAACCGUACGCGCACUCACGGAUACAGACAGAGGAACCGACCGACGCAGCUGUCUGCAGAAGUCUGUAUUGUGCGUGGUCAAGUAGAUGGGGCAGGCUCUGGAGGGAGAGGUCAUCGGUGAACGGACUCCUGAUUCGUCCCACACCGAGAAGGCCUUGCUUGUGUGUCAGGUGACUAUCACAGUUUGCAUGGCGUCCUGUAAAUGCAGUUUCGUCCAGUCCGCACAGCAGCCUGAGAGGCUGAUCUGGUUCAUCCUGGAGACCUGCGCAUGCGUGUCAUGGGUUCACGCAGACACAUAAAAAUAAACACUCGAGAAGAAAAGAAAAACUGAUCAAUAUUUCCAUUUUGGUUUCCUGUCAACACACAAAGCAUCCCCUAACUAGGCUCGGCUAACUAAAGGCUGUUUGGGAACUCUCUUGGGUAUUUUUUAAGUUCCCAUUAAGUAUUUAUAUUUGAUUUGGAUUAAAUCAGUAUC
Molecule: long non-coding RNA, 814 nt
Filed under: Mus pahari (shrew mouse)
Lineage: Eukaryota; Metazoa; Chordata; Mammalia; Rodentia; Muridae
Description: lncRNA (MGP_PahariEiJ_G0004828.1)
Source: RNAcentral